This 253-nucleotide ribosomal RNA is filed under the name uncultured bacterium. Its description in RNAcentral is "partial 16S ribosomal RNA". It matches the Rfam family "Bacterial small subunit ribosomal RNA", at positions 524 to 776 of the family's 1533-position model. The record is from RNAcentral.
UACAGGGGGUGCAAACGUUGCUCGGAAUCAUUGGGCGUAAAGCGUGCGCAGGCGGUCCGCAAAGUCUGAUGUGAAAGCCCCGGGCUCAACCUGGGAACUGCAUUGGAAACUAACGGGCUCGAGUGUGGCAGAGGGGGGUGGAAUUCCACGUGUAGCAGUGAAAUGCGUAGAUAUGUGGAGGAACACCGAUGGCGAAGGCAGCCCCCUGGGUCAAAACUGACGCUCAUGCACGAAAGCGUGGGGAGCAAACAGG